Nilaparvata lugens (brown planthopper) is the source of this 302-nucleotide long non-coding RNA. RefSeq lists it as uncharacterized. The transcript has 2 exons. The record is from RefSeq and is a predicted model, not a curated record. NCBI's taxonomy places the organism in Eukaryota, Metazoa, Arthropoda, Insecta, Hemiptera, Delphacidae.
AGAAAACAUGCAGUCUGUAAUCUACCCCCAUGUCAGUGUAGAGAGGCCUGUUCAUGAAGACACAAAAUCCUUCGACGACACCAAAGAUAUUACACAGUGUAGAUGGGCGGAUAGAAAGCGUGAACAUCAAAAGCCAUCGUGUGUUACCCAGUUUCCAUUCUGCAUCUAACAAUAGGAACCAAGCAUCCAACAUCAUAACUUUAUUAUUAUAUAGUCCAGACAAUGAAUGCUCAAAAGAGGGUAUAGAGAGAAAAGUUUGGAAGACUAUAUUUGACCCCGCAAUUUUGUUUUGGGUAUUAAGG